This 468-nucleotide ribosomal RNA is filed under the name uncultured bacterium. RNAcentral's name for it is "partial 16S ribosomal RNA". It matches the Rfam family "Bacterial small subunit ribosomal RNA", at positions 28 to 507 of the family's 1533-position model. The record is from RNAcentral.
GACGAACGCUGGCGGCGUGCUUAACACAUGCAAGUCGAACGGAAAGGCCCUGCUUUUGUGGGGUGCUCGAGUGGCGAACGGGUGAGUAACACGUGAGUAACCUGCCCUUGACUUUGGUAUAACUUCAGGAAACUGGGGCUAAUACCGUAUAGGAGCUCCUGCUGCAUGGUGGGGGUUGGAUAGUUUCGGCGGUUGGGGAUGGACUCGCGGCUUAUCAGCUUGUUGGUGGGGUAGUGGCUUACCAAGGCUUUGACGGGUAGCCGGCCUGAGAGGGUGACCGGCCACAUUGGGACUGAGAUACGGACCAGACUCCUACGGGAGGCAGCAGUGGGGAAUAUUGCACAAUGGGAGGAAGCCUGAUGAAGCAACGCCGCGUGCGGGAUGACGGCCUUCGGGUUGUAAACCGCUUUCGCCUGUGACGAAGCGUGAGUGACGGUAAUGGGUAAAGAAGCACCGGCUAACUACGUG